Arabidopsis thaliana (thale cress) is the source of this 197-nucleotide non-coding RNA. RefSeq annotates it as other RNA. Lineage: Eukaryota; Viridiplantae; Streptophyta; Magnoliopsida; Brassicales; Brassicaceae. The transcript has a single exon. The record is from RefSeq.
UCCCCUCUGGAAACACGCUCCUGCACAUUCAAACAAGUUGAGUGCUGACUGAUGCAAGGCCAUAGAAGAAAAGCAUACGAAUAAUGGGAUUCUUCAACAUGGAUGGAUGCUCAAAGACGUCAAAGUCGCAAUUUAUUAAAUAAUCAAUCCAUUAAAGGAAAGCUUCAUUCAAGUGCUACUUGUUAGUGUGUGUGAAG